GAUGAACGCUGGCGGCGUGCCUAAUACAUGCAAGUAGAACGCUGAAGCUUGGUGCUUGCACCGAGCGGAUGAGUUGCGAACGGGUGAGUAACGCGUAGGUAACCUGCCUCUUAGCGGGGGAUAACUAUUGGAAACGAUAGCUAAUACCGCAUAAAAGUCGAUAUCGCAUGAUGUUGAUUUGAAAGGUGCAAUUGCAUCACUAAGAGAUGGACCUGCGUUGUAUUAGCUAGUUGGUGAGGUAACGGCUCACCAAGGCGACGAUACAUAGCCGACCUGAGAGGGUGAUCGGCCACACUGGGACUGAGACACGGCCCAGACUCCUACGGGAGGCAGCAGUAGGGAAUCUUCGGCAAUGGGGGCAACCCUGACCGAGCAACGCCGCGUGAGUGAAGAAGGUUUUCGGAUCGUAAAGCUCUGUUGUAAGAGAAGAACGAGUGUGAGAGUGGAAAGUUCACACUGUGACGGUAACUUACCAGAAAGGGACGGCUAACUACGUGCCAGCAGCCGCGGUAAUACGUAGGUCCCGAGCGUUAUCCGGAUUUAUUGGGCGUAAAGCGAGCGCAGGCGGUUAGAUAAGUCUGAAGUUAAAGGCUGUGGCUUAACCAUAGUACGCUUUGGAAACUGUUUAACUUGAGUGCAGAAGGGGAGAGUGGAAUUCCAUGUGUAGCGGUGAUAUGCGUAGAUAUAUGGGAGGAACACCGGUGGCGAAAGCGGCUCUCUGGUCUGUAACUGACGCUGAGGCUCGAAAGCGUGGGGGAGCAAACAGG
RNAcentral lists this ribosomal RNA (767 nucleotides) under uncultured Streptococcus sp. Its description in RNAcentral is "bacterial SSU rRNA". It matches the Rfam family "Bacterial small subunit ribosomal RNA", at positions 28 to 776 of the family's 1533-position model. The record is from RNAcentral. Lineage: Bacteria; Bacillati; Bacillota; Bacilli; Lactobacillales; Streptococcaceae.